UUUUAAAUGAAAUGUAUGCAGUCACUCUGGAUAAGAGUGUCUGCUAAAUGACUAAAA
This is a non-coding RNA of Salmo salar (Atlantic salmon), 57 nucleotides long. The record is from Rfam. NCBI's taxonomy places the organism in Eukaryota, Metazoa, Chordata, Actinopteri, Salmoniformes, Salmonidae.